GAUGAAGAACGCAGUGAAAUGCGAUAAGUAAUGUGAAUUGCAGAAUUCAGUGAAUCAUCGAAUCUUUGAACGCACAUUGCGCCCGCCAGUAUUCUGGCGGGCAUGCCUGUUCGAGCGUCAUUUCAACCAUCAAGCCCCAGGCUUGUGUUGGGGACCUGCGGCUGCCGCGGGCCCUGAAAACCAGUGGCGGGCUCGCUGUCACACCGGGCGUAGUAGAUUUUAUCUCGCUCUGGGCGUGCUGCGGGUUCCGGCCGUUAAAAAACCCUUUUAACCCAAGGUUGACCUCGGAUCAGGUAGGAAUACCCGCUGAACUUAAGCAUAUCAAUAAGCGGAGGA
This 336-nucleotide unclassified non-coding RNA is filed under the name soil metagenome. RNAcentral describes it as "partial contains 5.8S ribosomal RNA, internal transcribed spacer 2, and large subunit ribosomal RNA". The stretch from base 1 to 120 matches the Rfam family "5.8S ribosomal RNA", at positions 35 to 154 of the family's 154-position model. The record is from RNAcentral.